CAUAUUAACAUUAUUAUUUAUGUCGGGAUUAAGUUUUGAACUAUAUCCGUACUCUUAAUUUGUGCUUUCCUGAAAUUUUUGUGGCUGAAAGAGUAAAAGGAAACCAUGCGAAAAUGUUCCUAAACAGUGCUGGGAAUUCGAAAAUUUACGAAUUAGCUAAAUUGUCUCGCAUGAAAACUGACCAGCUCGCCUCCUCACGCGGAGGCUAAAAACACCUUGUUGCUGGAGACAUCAUUCUCACUGGCCAUCUAAAGGUCACGGUGCCUCCAAUGGACAACCGCACUGAUACCUGCGGAUUUCCGCUUGUCAACUAUACUAUCGAGAAUGCGUACGCUAGGCGCAUACGGCUUUGUGAGACAACCAAGGAUCCUACGACAGCAUAUACUGUCCUGCUGCUACUUCCCUUUGGAAUAUUGGGUAACGGUCUUGGGACUCUUUUGCUGCUGGCCAGAUGCUGCACGAAAUGCAAAUGCCGUGCGGUAGUCUCAUGGCGAACUCGAGCCAAAAGCUGGAACAGAUUUGUUUUGGCAUAUCUAAAUCUUCGUUUUCUUUACUGGUGUGUAUAAUCGUAACUGCCAUUUGCUAGAAAGCAAUCGUAGCAAAGUUUCUGUUUAUCUGUUUAAGCUUAUCAUUAUGGAAUUUGUCGCGGCAGGGCUGGAAUAAAUGAACUGCGCUACUA
Molecule: long non-coding RNA, 679 nt
Organism: Paramacrobiotus metropolitanus
Lineage: Eukaryota; Metazoa; Tardigrada; Eutardigrada; Parachela; Macrobiotidae
Exons: 2
Source: RefSeq, a predicted model, not a curated record